Long non-coding RNA from Alosa sapidissima (American shad), 288 nucleotides. RefSeq lists it as uncharacterized. The record is from RefSeq and is a predicted model, not a curated record. Lineage: Eukaryota; Metazoa; Chordata; Actinopteri; Clupeiformes; Clupeidae. The transcript has 4 exons.
ACUUUCUGCCAAGUUGGCGUUACCAAUUUGUUUCCACCGCCGAUUUCACCAAGCACUGCUCGUGGACGCAACAUUCUGUUUUCUUUCUUCAUUUCUGUUUUUCAGCAGCCUUGUGAGCGACAUGUUGUUCCAGUCACAAGGUGUUCAGUAACACAGUCUUCAGUCUUAACAAUGGGAGGAGCUCGAGAUCCAGAUGCUGACUUUCAGUAUGAUUAUGAGCUGAUAAGAAGAGGAGGGUUGAUAUUUGCAGCUGUACUUUUUGUUCUAGGCAUUGCCAUCAUUUUCAGU